This 24-nucleotide non-coding RNA is filed under the name Cricetulus griseus (Chinese hamster). Its record names the gene cgr-miR-350-3p. The record is from miRBase by way of RNAcentral. RNAcentral also lists the same sequence under 3 other names. Lineage: Eukaryota; Metazoa; Chordata; Mammalia; Rodentia; Cricetidae.
UUCACAAAGCCCAUACACUUUCAC